UUCCUUGGUCACCGCAACAUUCGCACUUCAUUGACUAACGUACUCAAGAAAAAGGUACUAGUCCUUCCUUGCCAGGAGCUUAAUCUAUACAUCUUCCAGCUGAAACCGGGAGAAGCGACUCAGCUCAGCCUCUGAGCUUGGCGCAGCCUUGAAUGCAGUGUGGCACACCAGAGUUGUGCUAAAUAAAACACAGACUCAGCCCUGACUUUAACACAAGACCAGUGAGGCGUGGCAACUUGCCAGGGGUUUCAGGCACCUAGUGCUUGAGCUUAAGCGGUCGCUGAUGUGUUGAAGCCACGUGGGCGUGAUGGGAGGAACCGAUGAGAGCCCAGUGAGUGAAGAAGCUUCUCGGGGCAGCAGCAUUUGACAUCAACCUUUCAGGAAAAGAAGAUAACAUACUAAUGUAAUUAAGAGGCUGCUGUGGUGUGAUGCGAAGAGUAGAAGAAGUGAAGUCAGAAGACCAACUCUCCUCCCCUCUU
Molecule: long non-coding RNA, 479 nt
Organism: Camelus dromedarius (Arabian camel)
Lineage: Eukaryota; Metazoa; Chordata; Mammalia; Artiodactyla; Camelidae
Exons: 4
Source: RefSeq, a predicted model, not a curated record